ACCUAGGCUAAAACACUAGACAUCGAUGGGUAACCCUACUAUCCCACACCCAACCCCGGGUGAGGCGAACGAAGGACUCUAAGAGCCCCUAUCCUGCAAUCCUGAUUCUAGACCUCCAGACUCCCCUAUCGAGGGUCAUGUCCUCGGUAACCUGCAUUUUAGUCAUGUCCUGCCUAAUCACCUCCCCCCAAUGCUUCUUAGGCCUCCCUCUACCCCGCCGACCACCAGCAAUCUCCAGCCGCUCGCAGCUCCUCACCAGGGCGUCGGGACCCCUCCUCCGUACAUGCCCGAACCACCUCAGCCUCGCUUCCCGCAUCUUCUCGUCCACUGGGGCCACCUCUACCUUCUGUCGAAGA
Molecule: long non-coding RNA, 356 nt
Filed under: Nicotiana benthamiana
Lineage: Eukaryota; Viridiplantae; Streptophyta; Magnoliopsida; Solanales; Solanaceae
Description: long non-coding RNA (NBEN_LNC039736)
Source: RNAcentral